Rana temporaria (common frog) is the source of this 406-nucleotide long non-coding RNA. RefSeq lists it as uncharacterized. The record is from RefSeq and is a predicted model, not a curated record. NCBI's taxonomy places the organism in Eukaryota, Metazoa, Chordata, Amphibia, Anura, Ranidae. The transcript has 3 exons.
GCUUGUCAGCUGGGUGGAUUAUUUUCCUUCUGCUGACGCCCAGGUCAUGUGUCUGCACUGCGGCGCUUUGAUUGGUCAAUCAUCGCCGUGGUGGCAGAUUUAAAGCCCAAGCGCUGUGUUAGGCGCUCCAGCUGAGACCAGACCUAAUUAAUGCAAGGAAAGGCUGCUGUAUGCACAGCUAUCUAGGUGGCUCUGCCUUUUCAUCUUUGGACUUUGUCCUAAUCAGAGCGGAUGCCGCUUUUUGAUCAGGUUAUUUGAGGGGCUGUGAGAGUGUCUUCCUUCCCCUUUAUCCUCUUUCAAUCCAUAUCUAUGGCAAACAUUAGACUGUUUCUACUGACAACAGGCAUUUUUGCUUACUAUUGACAGAUUAAUUCUAUUAAUGGCUUAAAAUCCUGCUGUGGUUCUC